AACCCAUGGUGAGGGCACCUUCUCAAUAAAUCCUUAUAUCUCUCUCAUGCAUCAUAUAGUGUUUCUAAAUCCAUCUAGACAAAAUAAGAGAUACCAUUCCUCAAUUU
This 107-nucleotide small nucleolar RNA is filed under the name Gossypium arboreum. RNAcentral's name for it is "Plant small nucleolar RNA R71". It matches the Rfam family "Plant small nucleolar RNA R71". Rfam says of the family: R71 is a member of the C/D box family of snoRNAs containing the C (UGAUGA) and D (CUGA) box motifs. Multiple nearly identical copies of this snoRNA have been identified in Arabidopsis, and it is thought to function as a 2'-O-ribose methylation guide for 18S ribosomal RNA. Lineage: Eukaryota; Viridiplantae; Streptophyta; Magnoliopsida; Malvales; Malvaceae. The record is from Rfam by way of RNAcentral.